CCUACGGGGUGCAGCAGUGGGGAAUAUUGGACAAUGGGCGAAAGCCUGAUCCAGCCAUGCCGCGUGUGUGAAGAAGGCCUUCGGGUUGUAAAGCACUUUCAGUGGGGAAGAAAGCCUUGGGGCUAAUACCCUCGAGGAAGGACAUCACCCACAGAAGAAGCACCGGCUCAACUCCGUGCCAGCAGCCGCGGUAAUACGGAGGGUGCGAGCGUUAAUCGGAAUUACUGGGCGUAAAGCGCGCGUAGGCGGUCUGAUAAGCCGGUUGUGAAAGCCCCGGGCUCAACCUGGGAACGGCAUCCGGAACUGUCAGGCUAGAGUGCAGGAGAGGAAGGUAGAAUUCCCGGUGUAGCGGUGAAAUGCGUAGAGAUCGGGAGGAAUACCAGUGGCGAAGGCGGCCUUCUGGACUGACACUGACGCUGAGGUGCGAAAGCGUGGGUAGCAAACAGGAUUAGAUACCCUGGUAGUC
This 466-nucleotide ribosomal RNA is filed under the name Vreelandella stevensii. Its description in RNAcentral is "partial 16S ribosomal RNA". It matches the Rfam family "Bacterial small subunit ribosomal RNA", at positions 338 to 795 of the family's 1533-position model. Lineage: Bacteria; Pseudomonadati; Pseudomonadota; Gammaproteobacteria; Oceanospirillales; Halomonadaceae. The record is from RNAcentral.